This 1795-nucleotide long non-coding RNA is filed under the name Apteryx owenii (little spotted kiwi). RNAcentral's name for it is "lncRNA (ENSAOWG00000018447.1)". The record is from RNAcentral. Lineage: Eukaryota; Metazoa; Chordata; Aves; Apterygiformes; Apterygidae.
CAACCCAGGGAGAGGAGGCUGCUUGGCGCUACAACUGGAGAAGGAAGACCCAAACUCCUCGCUCGGCGCUGUUUAGUAGCUGCGGUGGAGGGCUGGUGCCUUUGGGACAGUUAGCCAGUUCUCCAGGUCCAGAGUUUGCAUGUGCCUCGCACUUGAGAAAGGAACUUCCUCCUGACUGCUUCGUCUUUUGGUCUGCCAAACUGAAAUAUGAAAAAUGGAUGAAGUAUACACAAUCUCGUCUACCGAGAAGGUCCAGCAGCUGGAAAGAGAACUAGCAGCACAGCUAGCAGAGCUGAAGGCAGAAAUAGAAGACUAUGGGGUGCUCCCGGGAACACCGAGUAGGGCAUACAGUUCUGUUCCAAUUCCAAAGGAUGCAUCUUAUUUCAGAAAAGAAAGGGAGAUAAUACUGAAGAAAGGCUUACAGGUGACGGAGGCAAAACCUCUUGUUAUUCAGGCUGAUGUCAUGCAGAGGGAGUUAGAGAGCUGCUUGAGGAGGGAGUAUACAGCAGCAAACUUGCCCCUGCUGCUGCACCAGUUUUUUACAGACAGAAUUACUCGGCUAGUCCAGUGUAAAUAUUUGCACAUGCUUAGAUGGAAGAGAUUUUGUACGCACAGCAAUGUUAUUGAACAACUUUAUCCUCUCUAUCAGAAGCAAAUUAGUCACAUCAUGGAAGAAUACAACAAUGCAGUUCAGAGGGCUGCAAGGCUUUCAGCUGCGAGGGAAAAGUUCCUGACAAGAAAGAAAAAUACGGUGAAUGUAGUGACCCAGGAAGAUCUGAUGAUUUACACCCAGUGGCUAGUGUGUCACUUGCACUCUGUGAAGGGUGUUCACUGUUUCCUUCAGAGUUUUAAAAAGAAAUGGUGAGAAAUGAUCAACUUUCUUUAAAAACCAGAAGUCCUACAGAUAAUGCAUUUAUUGAUGUAUAUUCUUUGAGAAUGGUCAACAGGGUGAAUUUGGGAAGUACUGAAUGCCAUCCUUGGUUUGUAUGCUUGAGAAAUUUGGCAUGUGGCUUUUAAAAUCAGCAAGAUUCCUGGAAAAGGUGGUGCCCAAAUUCCAGAGCGUGGAGUUCUGAAUUGGCAGUGGUGGCUCCUGUGGCCUUAGUAAGGUUUAUGUUCGAGGAGUUCGGCUUUGCUGUCCGUGCACAGAGUCACAGAGAGAGUCAGUUUAGAAGAACACGUGUGGAAUCAACGCGGUGGAGAUUCCAGGAUGUUGUUCUGAUUAUGCCAAGCCCUGAAACUCACCCUCCCAAUUUUCUGAAAAAAUAUUAUUUAAAAUAUUUCUGUGGGUGUCCUGUUUCUAGAGGGAUACUUUGCUAUGCGUCUUUAAACAAUGAAUCUCUAGAAAAAUCUUUGUGUUCUCUUUUCCUCUGGAAGAAGGGAGGAAGUGACGUUGCUUAUGUAGAGUUACCCAUGUGAGUGGCACUUCAGCAAGCAAGACAGUAUCCUUGUCCCAAAGUGAUGAAAUGCUAAGAUUUAAUCUGUGCUUUUUUCCUCACUGUUCUUGCUGUGUCUGAAGUGUGGGAGCCCACAGGAUUGUCUCUGAAGAGUCCGGUUCCUGCCUCUCCUUUGGGGAGAGGCAGGGUGUUGUGCCUCCUGCUUGCAGUCGGAAAGUGGGCUGCCCAGGGUGGAGGAAUCGGAAGGGACCAUGGCUUGUCCUCCCUGUUCCCUUGCUCUGUUGAAAACUUCUAGCCCGGGGGAGCAGAGUGUACCUGGGGGCCUGCAUGGGGGAGCAGGGCACAACCGCAGCCUGGAGCGACACUGCCCUAAGAGCGAUGAUUGAUUGCGAACGCUGUAG